Molecule: long non-coding RNA, 1780 nt
Filed under: Diabrotica virgifera virgifera (western corn rootworm)
Lineage: Eukaryota; Metazoa; Arthropoda; Insecta; Coleoptera; Chrysomelidae
Description: uncharacterized LOC126892025
Source: RNAcentral
CCUAACAACACACAACAUUCCAGGAAUGUACUACCAAAGUUCUAUCAAUAUUUGAAUGUCCUGGACAUUUAGGGAACAUUCGGUGAACAUAUGUUUAAAUUAUUCCUGGAAUGUUACCAUAAGACAUUCUGUGAACAUACUACCAAUGUUCCUAUAUUUUAAGUUGCGAAAUAAUACAUACGUGUAAGAGAUACAACAUUACUUAUAACAUACCAGACAAACUAAGUGACAUUUUAGGCCUACAGUGCAAUAAUAUGUCAAAUUUAAAGAGUUUCCCAAGAUUAUAAACAUACAAAUGUAAUAAAAAUUAUUGUUCGCGAAUAUUCAAUUUGGAAUGCGAUUUUGUUAAUAAAAAAAAUACUUAUAACUUAUGCAAAACCCAAGAGAGGCAUUUAUAUUUAUUUCUUUUGCGUUCAUUUUCAAAUUCGCCGUGCAUAUAUGUUUGUGCAUGGCGCUUGAGAGGGCAUCACGUGACUAAAAACGACCAACCAACGACCUCGCUUCGGCCAUCUUGGCAUCUUCAUCUUGGCCACCUUGUUUUGCCGUGGAUUGUUUUUAGUUGUUUGUAUUAUUUGUGCUUUUUAAGAAUAUUUUUUUAAUUCGGAUACUUUUAUAAUAGCUUUAAUAGUAUUAUUAACAUAGUGCAUAAAAUGGUGUCCUGUUUUUAACGCAGUUGGAGUAGCAGAAACAAAUGUAGAUAAAAAAAUCUGCAGGAAUAACGUUUCAAUUAUGACAGAAGCUCAAAACAAAUGACUGUGAAUGAAAAGCCCUAUUAAAAGCUUUCCAGAAGAUCCUGCGAAGAAGACAUGAAGUAUAGAUCAGAUUUGUUAAUAGAGGAGUAUGUUCAAAACACUUUUUAGAAAAAGAUAUUGACAGAACUUCACUUUCAUCUGUUCGUUUGAGAGACUGUGCUGUUCCAAUAGCUUAUGUCACACAGAAUCAGCUGAGAGAAGUGGUCUACAAAAAACCAGAAAGGAAACGGAAUAUGUGGCUACGAAAAGCAAAAGAAAGGUUUACAAAGCAAAUGUGACACAUUUUUUUAUAAUAUUUAGGAAUGUCAGCAAAUUACAUUAAAAAAUGUAUGUAAAGAUUUUUUGCAAUAAAAAUGUUUAUAUUUAUCAAGGAUGUAUUAUUUGGUAUGGCCAUAUAUCGUCAGUGAUGUGACAGUACCUCCUAUCUGUUUUUUUCAAGAGAUUUGUAAGAUAGACUAAAAACUUGUUUCGGCCACCUCCUGUUUUCAUAUAUUUUUUGACUUGUUUUGCAGUAAAUUCAACUAUCUAUUUACUACAAAAAAAGUCAGAAUACGUACGAAACCAGAAAGUGACCUUAAAAAAUGUUUUUCGUCUCCUGCAAACCUCAUGAAAAAACAUAUGAGGUAUUGUCACAUUACUGACGAUAUAUUUCAGUGAAUGUCUAAAAAAUAUACUGUGAAUGUUCAAAGAACGUUCGUAGACAUUCAUGGAAUGUUCUAACAAGACAUUCAGUCUAAAAAUAUACUGUGAAUGUCCAAAGAACAUUCAUGGAAUGUUCCAACAAGACAUUCAGUCUAAAAAAUAGACUGUGAAUGUCCAAAGAACAUUCGUAGACAUUCAUGGAAUGUUCCAACAGAACAUUCUAAGAAUAUUUAAAAUGCUGACACAGCACUUUCCUGGUACUUUCCAGGGACAUUCGUGUGCAUUUGGGGACAUUCCAGGAAUGUUUUCAAUGUCCUGUGUGUACAUUCUAGGAACAUUCAUGGAAUGUUUUGUGUUAUUAGGGAUCUUUGUCUUACAACGCACUC